GACGAACGCUGGCGGCGUGCUUAACACAUGCAAGUCGAACGGAGAGGCCCUGCUUUUGUUGGGUGCUCGAGUGGCGAACGGGUGAGUAACACGUGAGUAACCUGCCCUUGACUUUGGGAUAACUUCAGGAAACUGGGGCUAAUACCGGAUAGGAGCUCCUGCUGCAUGGUGGGGGUUGGAAAGUUGCGGCGGUUGGGGACGGACUGGCGGCUCAUCAGAUUGUUGGUGGGGUAGGGGCUUACCAAGGCUUUGACGGGUAGCCGGCCUGAGAGGGUUACCGGACCCAUUAGAACGGGAAUACGGCACAGACUCAUCCGGGAGGCAACGGUGGGGAGUGUUGCACAAUGGGAGGAAGGAAGAUGUAACAACGCCGCGUGCGGGAUGACGGCAUUCGGGUUGUAAACCGCUUUCGCAUGAGAAGAAGCGUGAGUGACGGUAAUGGGUAAAGAAGCACCGGCUAACUACGUG
RNAcentral lists this ribosomal RNA (468 nucleotides) under uncultured bacterium. RNAcentral's name for it is "partial 16S ribosomal RNA". It matches the Rfam family "Bacterial small subunit ribosomal RNA", at positions 28 to 507 of the family's 1533-position model. The record is from RNAcentral.